RNAcentral lists this ribosomal RNA (1401 nucleotides) under uncultured bacterium. RNAcentral describes it as "partial 16S ribosomal RNA". It matches the Rfam family "Bacterial small subunit ribosomal RNA". The record is from RNAcentral.
AGAGUUUGAUCCUGGCUCAGAUUGAACGCUGGCGGCAGGCCUAACACAUGCAAGUCGAACGGUAACAGGAAGAAGCUUGCUUCUUUGCUGACGAGUGGCGGACGGGUGAGUAAUGUCUGGGAAACUGCCUGAUGGAGGGGGAUAACUACUGGAAACGGUAGCUAAUACCGCAUAACGUCGCAAGACCAAAGAGGGGGACCUUCGGGCCUCUUGCCAUCGGAUGUGCCCAGAUGGGAUUAGCUAGUAGGUGGGGUAACGGCUCACCUAGGCGACGAUCCCUAGCUGGUCUGAGAGGAUGACCAGCCACACUGGAACUGAGACACGGUCCAGACUCCUACGGGAGGCAGCAGUGGGGAAUAUUGCACAAUGGGCGCAAGCCUGAUGCAGCCAUGCCGCGUGUAUGAAGAAGGCCUUCGGGUUGUAAAGUACUUUCAGCGGGGAGGAAGGGAGUAAAGUUAAUACCUUUGCUCAUUGACGUUACCCGCAGAAGAAGCACCGGCUAACUACGUGCCAGCAGCCGCGGUAAUACGUAGGUGGCAAGCGUUGUCCGGAUUUAUUGGGCGUAAAGCGAGCGCAGGCGGUUUCUUAAGUCUGAUGUGAAAGCCCCCGGCUCAACCGGGGAGGGUCACUGGAAACUGGGAGACUUGAGUGCAGAAGAGGAGAGUGGAAUUCCAUGUGUAGCGGUGAAAUGCGUAGAUAUAUGGAGGAACACCAGUGGCGAAGGCGGCUCUCUGGUCUGUAACUGACGCUGAGGCUCGAAAGCGUGGGGAGCAAACAGGAUUAGAUACCCUGGUAGUCCACGCCGUAAACGAUGAGUGCUAAGUGUUGGAGGGUUUCCGCCCUUCAGUGCUGCAGCUAACGCAUUAAGCACUCCGCCUGGGGAGUACGACCGCAAGGUUGAAACUCAAAGGAAUUGACGGGGGCCCGCACAAGCGGUGGAGCAUGUGGUUUAAUUCGAAGCAACGCGAAGAACCUUACCAGGUCUUGACAUCCUUUGACCACUCUAGAGAUAGAGCUUCCCCUUCGGGGGCAAAGUGACAGGUGGUGCAUGGUUGUCGUCAGCUCGUGUCGUGAGAUGUUGAGUUAAGUCCCGCAACGAGCGCAACCCUUAUUGUUAGUUGCCAUCAUUUAGUUGGGCACUCUAGCAAGACUGCCGGUGACAAACCGGAGGAAGGUGGGGAUGACGUCAAAUCAUCAUGCCCCUUAUGACCUGGGCUACACACGUGCUACAAUGGGAAGUACAACGAGUCGCAAAGUCGCGAGGCUAAGCUAAUCUCUUAAAGCUUCUCUCAGUUCGGAUUGUAGGCUGCAACUCGCCUACAUGAAGCCGGAAUCGCUAGUAAUCGCGGAUCAGCACGCCGCGGUGAAUACGUUCCCGGGCCUUGCACUCACCGCCCGUCA